This 497-nucleotide ribosomal RNA is filed under the name uncultured bacterium. Its description in RNAcentral is "partial 16S ribosomal RNA". It matches the Rfam family "Bacterial small subunit ribosomal RNA", at positions 28 to 507 of the family's 1533-position model. The record is from RNAcentral.
GAUGAACGCUGGCGGCGUGCCUAAUACAUGCAAGUCGAGCGAACGGACGAGAAGCUUGCUUCUCUGAUGUUAGCGGCGGACGGGUGAGUAACACGUGGAUAACCUACCUAUAAGACUGGGAUAACUUCGGGAAACCGGAGCUAAUACCGGAUGAUAUUUUGAACCGCAUGGUUCAAAGGUGAAAGACGGUCUUGCUGUCACUUAUAGAUGGAUCCGCGCUGCAUUAGCUAGUUGGUAAGGUAACGGCUUACCAAGGCAACGAUGCAUAGCCGACCUGAGAGGGUGACCGGCCACACUGGAACUGAGACACGGUCCAGACUCCUACGGGAGGCAGCAGUAGGGAAUCUUCCGCAAUGGGCGAAAGCCUGACGGAGCAACGCCGCGUGAGUGAUGAAGGUCUUCGGAUCGUAAAACUCUGUUAUUAGGGAAGAACAUAUGUGUAAGUAACUGUGCACAUCUUGACGGUACCUAAUCAGAAAGCCACGGCUAACUACGUG